UACAGAGGGUGCGAGCGUUGUUCGGAAUUAUUGGGCGUAAAGGGCGCGUAGGCGGUGCGGUAAGUCACCUGUGAAAUCUCCUGGCUCAACUGGGAGUCUGCAGGCGAAACUGCCGUGCUGGAGUGUGGGAGAGGUGAGUGGAAUUCCCUGUGUAGCGGUGAAAUGCGUAGAUAUCGGGAGGAACACCUGUGGCGAAAGCGGCUCACUGGACCACAACUGACGCUGAGGCGCGAAAGCUAGGGGAGCAAACAGG
RNAcentral lists this ribosomal RNA (253 nucleotides) under uncultured bacterium. RNAcentral's name for it is "partial 16S ribosomal RNA". It matches the Rfam family "Bacterial small subunit ribosomal RNA", at positions 524 to 776 of the family's 1533-position model. The record is from RNAcentral.